ACCGCUGUAGCCCAGUUGGUAGAGGCGUCGCCAUUACAGAUGAUGAAGGUCGCUGGUUCAAAUUCAGCCUACGGUG
Molecule: non-coding RNA, 76 nt
Organism: Phthorimaea operculella (potato tuberworm)
Lineage: Eukaryota; Metazoa; Arthropoda; Insecta; Lepidoptera; Gelechiidae
Source: the annotation of a GenBank genome assembly